RNA transcript from Egretta garzetta (little egret), 284 nucleotides. RefSeq lists it as uncharacterized. The record is from RefSeq and is a predicted model, not a curated record. NCBI's taxonomy places the organism in Eukaryota, Metazoa, Chordata, Aves, Pelecaniformes, Ardeidae. The transcript is spliced from 2 exons.
AAGAAAGACUGGUCGGAUCACGCGCUGUGGUGGGAAAAGAAGAAAACUUGGCUCCUUAAAACGCACUGGACGUUGGACAAAUACGGGAUACAGGCUGAUGCCAAGCUCCAGUUCACACCUCAGCACAAGCUGCUUCGCCUCCAGCUGCCCAACAUGAAGUACGUCAAGGUGAAAGUCAACUUCUCGGACAGGGUCUUCAAGGCGGUUUCUGACAUCUGCAAAACGUUCAACAUCAGGCAUCCAGAAGAGCUCUCCCUUUUGAGGAAACCCAGAGAUCCAUCAAA